RNAcentral lists this long non-coding RNA (439 nucleotides) under Homo sapiens (human). RNAcentral describes it as "HSALNT0183303". The record is from RNAcentral. Lineage: Eukaryota; Metazoa; Chordata; Mammalia; Primates; Hominidae.
GACCUAACCCCACAGUGCCUGCUUUAAUCCCGUAUGGGUGCGGCUGUCCCCUAAACACCAGAGAAAUAACAUAUGAAACCAGAUAAAGCUCAGGGUCUUCAGCUCUUGCAGGCCUGGGCAGCUAAGGAAAAGGAAUUUGGAGACCUAAAGUACUUUUUCUUCAGAAGCAUAGCACUCUGUGAAUGUGGUCAUGAUGGCUGAGGAUAGAGGUGGAACAGGUGCCAUGCUGCUAUCACAAGACGGAGACCACAUACUCUAAGAAUGCUGAACAGAAAAAUAAAAGGAGUCUGAGUCCCUGAUGACAUAAUAGAGCUACCAUAACCACCAUGGAUAUUGUCUAGGUGCUUUGUAAUAUAAAAAGAGUAAACCCUCUAAUUGGUUCAACCACUGUGUUUGCAUGUUAUUUACUGCAUGCAGUCAAACUCAAAUCCCGAUUGUU